Molecule: ribosomal RNA, 247 nt
Filed under: uncultured bacterium
Lineage: Bacteria
Description: partial 16S ribosomal RNA
Rfam family: Bacterial small subunit ribosomal RNA
Source: RNAcentral
AUACGGAGGAUCCGAGCGUUAUCCGGAUUUACUGGGCGUAAAGGGUGCGUAGGCGGAAGAUUAAGUCGGCGGUGAAAUUUUGCAGCUCAACUGUAAAAGUGCCUUCGAAACUGGUUUUCUUGAGUGUGGAUGAAGUAGGCGGAAUUCGUGGUGUAGCGGUGAAAUGCUUAGAUAUCACGAAGAACUCCAAUUGCGAAGGCAGCUCACUGGGGUACAACUGACACUGAGGCUCGAAAGUGUGGGUAUC